UACGAAGGGGGCUAGCGUUGUUCGGAGUUACUGGGCGUAAAGGGCGCGUAGGCGGCUCUUCAAGUCGGGCGUGAAAUCCCUGGGCUCAACCCGGGAAUGGCGCCCGAGACUGACGGGCUCGAGUGCGGGAGAGGAUGGUGGAAUUCCCAGUGUAGAGGUGAAAUUCGUAGAUAUUGGGAAGAACACCGGUGGCGAAGGCGGCCAUCUGGUCCGCAACUGACGCUGAGGCGCGAAAGCGUGGGGAGCAAACAGGAUUAGAAACCCC
Molecule: ribosomal RNA, 265 nt
Filed under: uncultured bacterium
Lineage: Bacteria
Description: partial 16S ribosomal RNA
Rfam family: Bacterial small subunit ribosomal RNA
Source: RNAcentral